Molecule: RNA transcript, 9592 nt
Organism: Venturia canescens
Lineage: Eukaryota; Metazoa; Arthropoda; Insecta; Hymenoptera; Ichneumonidae
Gene: Fhos
Gene name: Formin homology 2 domain containing
Exons: 28
Source: RefSeq, a predicted model, not a curated record
CGUUCGAUACGGCCGGCGCUUUCAAAGCGCGAUAUUUUUUCCGAUCGCGCGCUUUUCCUUCGCCCUCGUAAGCUCUCUUUUCCUCCAUUCUCGCAUCUUCUUUCGUCCAACGUACCUCGAAAUGCUCGAAAAACCUGUGCACAUACGCCUCGAUCGAGUCGCUCGUUUCUUCACUCUUCGCGAUACUUUUUUUACACGUGGUGAAUCGAAAGAUCCUCGCAACUCGUGUGCCAAUCACGGAUUUUUUUGAAGUUUGUCGUAACGUCACAACGUACAGUGAGGACAGCUCGAAAUCAUUAACGAGGGAUUUUCGAAAAUGACAUCCUACAGGAGUUAUAGCGAUACUGGAACGUACAAAGGUCGCAGCAGCAAUGGCCUCGGCGGAAGUUUCGCCCGAAGCUCGACAGGAACUACUCUGCCAAACUAUCGGAGCACCUACACAAGUGCUGGUUCGAGCAGAGUGCCGGCCAAGGAUCGAACGACUCCGGGUUACUCGAGCCUCGACAAGAGGGAUCGUGAUAAAUCCGAUGAUAAGCCAGUUUACAAAUACUCAGCAGGAGGAAAAGAGCUGGAAAAAAGCAGACUGAAUUGUGGGCGUACUUCUGCCGAGGAUUUGAGCAGUAAAAGUUCCCUCUCGGACAGCAGAGCAUCCGUUCUUGAUAGAUAUUCGUACUCGUCGAAUCGAUCGAAUUCCGAUAGACCAUCCUCGGUACUCGAGAAGUACAGCAAUAGAGCAGCUUCGAGAGAGAAGCCCCGAGAGUCUGAUGUGUCGUCUCGUUACGUGACGAGCACGUAUCCAGGUCCGGGACUGAGAGGAAAUUAUGGAAACGACGGGAGAAUCGAGAAAAAGGAACGUAUCGAUCAUCCACCGAUUUCGUAUCGAGGACUCCGAUCGAAUUCGGGACGAAGCUCUCGCGAGCCCAGCCCUGAAGUUUCCAACAGUAAACCCCAAUUUCGAAUGUACUCGAAAACGCCCACUUAUGGAAGGAGCUCAAAUGCGGCUGGCGCAUCGGACGCGAGCGGAGUUUCGUCGAUAACCUCCAGGCUGAUGAAUCAAUCAUCGCGUUUAUCAUCGCCCAGAACGCCGAGCCUCCCGAGUGCCACAAACUCGGAGAAGAUUCGAACGCCGGUUAACAAAUCGGCCGGUUCAAUAAUCCCCAAAACCGUGGAAAAGUUGGGAAAAAGCGUUGAGUCGGCGACUGAGCCUGCGAGCGAAACGUCGCAAAAGGAUACGAAAGCAGCUCCGAAAAGAGUUGAACUAACCGAAGCCACGACGAGCCAAACGAAAGAAUUGCACGAAGGAAGGAGCGAGGAGGGAGACGAGGAAGGGGGGUCGGAGAAACAGGAAGCGGCAGCGAAUGCAACAAUAACAUUGACUAUGAUUUCUCGAUGCACUUCACCAACUCCGCCAUCCGGUUCCAGCUUUGUGAGCCGUCGGCGAGCCGACGUUGCGCGUUUGUUUCAACGAGAAAUAACGAGGAGCGUUAAGAGACCGGAAAUGCGAGAUUCGGAGAUGCAAUCCGACCGAAUGGACGACACAGCGAGGUAUUCGAGAUUCGGGAGCUCAGCAUCGAGGGUCUCUUCGCCCUGGUCAUCGUAUCUCGAUAAAUUCUCGUCCGCCGGUACGUCUACGAGGAAUUACGGAAAUUCCAGCAAUUCCAAUUCUUCCGCUCGGAUUAAUUCAUCCUUCGGUUACUCCCGCCAAAACGAAAGUCCGGGGACUGGCAGACUCGAAAUUCCUCGGGAGAGACCGUCUCCGUCUCCACCGAGAACCGGUCUAAAUAAUCGUGAAUUUCGUUCUUCAUUAACACCGGAAGUACAGGCUACUCCACAAGCAACUCUUCACAAAUCGCCGUCGCGCAGUGCCGGUGAAAGAGAAACGAGCCACGACGAUUCUUCGGCGAGCUUCCACACAGUUUCUCGAGGUGAAUCUUCCUCCGGGUGUCCUCGACAAUCUUCGUCGGAGAUUGAAAUCCAAAACCCUUCGAAAGCCCCGAACCCCGCGAGGAACGAAGACACCAGUCAAAAACGAACGAGCUCCAUUUCCAAGCUGGCGAGGGCUUCGCCCAAAAAUGAUGGUAAACUUUCUCAAUCCUCUUCGAAAUCAGAAUUGUCGGGAUCCGCCGACAAUAGUCUUACGACCGGUUCCACCUCAAUUUCAACCACCGGUUCUUCGAUCCCAAAAUCAGAGGAUCAUCAUCGCAACGUUGAUGGCCAAUCGGAAAAUUACACGGAGAAAAAUGCACGCGACGUAUUCCGGCAGAGGCGAGAAAAUUCCCAAAGUUGUACAAAUUCUUCGAUAUCAUCAAGGCGGGAGGGAUCCAAUCGUUCGGAGAGUUUAUCACCAAGUGCGAGCAAGUCGAUAUCUCGAGUGGGUUCUUCCAAGAGUGUAUCGCGUAAAAUGACGCGAAGCGAAGCUCCGUCGUCGUCGUCGUCGUCGUCGUCGACGGCACACACGUCCGACGGCGUUAAUUCUGUCAGCGUGCCAACUGGCAGAACGAAAUCUUCGAGUUCGUUGACGAGUCAGCCGAUAAAAAUAAAAACAGCGUCGUCUUCGAGUGUCGGCGGUGGCAGUCAGAAUUCGUGUAAAAACGCCAGUUCCUCGUCGUCUUCUUCGUUGUUAGGAAACGCUUCAAGUUCCCAGCUGAACAAGUCAAACUCUGGUGAGACCCGCGGUAAACCACCUGUACCGAAGACCGAUACAUCCGGGAUAAUGAAGAUUCCAAACGCCUCGGGGAAGUAUGUGAACAAAGACUUUCGUAAAUCGGCUCUCAACAUGGAGAACGGUGAUGGAUCGAGGAGCUCGAAACACGCGGACAGAAAACGUUUGACCAGAGAAAAGUGUCAAAGAAGCGUUUCUGCGAGUUCCCAAGACUCGGAAAUGAACUCCGAGUCAAAUCCGCUGGUCGCGUCCGCAGGCUCGUCCUCGGGGUCCUCAAAGUCCUCGCGUUCUCCAGGUAAAUUAAGAACGAACGAAAGUAGGUCGGACGUUUCGAAAAAAUCGGGCAGUGAAACUAAAUCGGUGUCGCCGAGCGUCUCGCGAUUAGCAACGUGUCGUAAUUCAAAGAGUCGUUCGGGAUCACCGGUGCGUCGAAAACAGGAGGCUCCUUCUUCAGGAACAUCCUCGAGUUCGGACAGUAGUUCGGAAUCAAGUUCUUCGAGCUCUUCGAGCAGCGAGAACGACGAGCCUCGGGAGCAGUCGUCGAAGGAACGUUCCAUCGGUGGCAGUAGCAAUGGAUCCAAAAGGCGACGCAAAAGGACCAUGAGUUCACCGCGCAUGGAAAGGAAAAUGAGUGUCGGCUCGUCGCGCACGAGCGUCUUACUGUCCUCGGCCGACGAAUCCUCUCUUGCUAUGGAUAAACCCCCCAGACCACCCUCCAGCCCACGAUCGCGCAGUGAGCGUUCAUCCAAAACCGAAGAUGCCAAGUCUUUUCUGAUGAGAGCACUCGCACCUGUCGCCUCCAUUUUUCGAGGCAAACAACCGGAUUCCGGCUCCGAAGAUUGGCCCGAAAACACCGACAAUUGCAACGAUCAGCUAUCCGAUUCAUCGAAAAGGCCACCGACCAUCUCCAAAUCCACUAGUCCGAGUUUGUCGAAAAGUUUGAGCUUCACCAACCCGAGCCCCCGAGACAGAUCGACGAGUGGUGACCGUUUGAGAAACACGACGAUAAAGCGAGAGUCCUCGGGUGAAAGACCCUGGUGGAUGGAUCCAAACUCGGACAAUGUCCCGGAUGGUGUGGAAAGGGUAGGGACUUGCCAGGAUGAAAUUAGCCAGGAAACUACCAUUAGCACCGUCCUUCCUGACGAUGGGAAAUUCAGGACGAAACUGUGGAAACACGAUUCGGGCGAGCGUGCUUGGUGGCUGGAUGCAAACGAUAAUGUCCCGCAGGACACGGUGAAAAAUGAAUACGCAACGUCAUCGCCGAUAUCGCGAAGGAGUACGAGCCGCUGUAGCACGAGAUCUUCGGAUUUUAGGAACCGCAUAAAGCACCAACAAUCGGGGGAGCGAGCUUGGUGGUUGAGCGAAGAUCCAUCCGAUGUUCCCGAGGGUGUUGAGAUCUUCCCCGCCGAGCCAACGUCCAACUCAACGAGCAACGACAACUCCGGGAGUCUCGCCCCGAGCGAGACUCUCUCGAGAACACUAAACGGCAUAAGGCACAUUGAAUCAGGCGAACGGGCCUGGUGGAUGGACAGCAAUUCAAAUAUUCCGGAGGGUAUCGUUAAAAUAACACCGGACAUCGAUUCGAACAGCAAUUCCGACUCAUCCGAAUCGUUUGAGAAACACGAAAUUCUAUCCAACGAUCGUAUCUCGUCGUACCAACGAAAAUCUGAAAUAUCGAGUUCUCUAUCAAGAUUUCCUCUCGAAUUUAACGCUCCGUCGAACUCGAGUCUCGAUCGUACGAUUAAUAACGAAGAACCUCUGGGAGAACGCGCUAGUCCUGAAGGGGUAGAAAAUCCGCCCGAUCCUCCGGAGAGUCAUUACGAAACCGGUAGGAAAUCACCAUACGACAAUGUGCCAAGGAAAGAGAAUCGGAGAUCUUUCCGUAAGCGACCAACGACGUUGCCACUGUUCAUUGGCAGUCACAAAAACAUAGACGAUCUUCUGGGCGAGGUAUCAUCGCCUCGUCAUAGUCCUGUGCUCUCACGGAUUCGUAAUAAUCGUCCAAUGGAAGAUUAUUCGGAAGAUAGCUCAGAAUGCGAGGAAAUAGACGCGGCCCAAGUUAUAAUCCACGAUAGUACUCCGAAAACUCCGAUAAUUCAACGGCGAAGUAGAGAUACCGAGAGACCACAACCCGACGGUUACAUUCCGCUGGACGACACAGCUCUCCAGCUUUACAAGGAUGGAGAUUACGGUGCAUAUUUGGAUCUUGAAGCGUCGAUCAACGAGCAGCAGGAAGAGUUCGAGGGUUUCCAGACCAACCGAAAAAACUCGAUCGUCUUAAGGACUCAGUUAUCCGUGCGAGUCCAUACCAUUAUCGAAAAAUUGCUGAACAGCGAGGGACGCGAGCUGCGACGGGCGCUCUUCUCCCUCAAGCAAACCUUCCAGGAGGACAAAGAUCUCGUACACGAAUUUGUACAAAAUGACGGUUUGGCCUGUCUCAUCAGAGUUGGAAAUGACGCCGAUCAGAAUUAUCAGAACUAUAUUUUACGAGCCCUCGGUCAGGUGAUGCUGUACGUGGACGGGAUGAACGGUGUUAUGGAGCACGGUCAGACAGUUCAAUGGCUGUACACACUGAUAGCGAGUCGCUUUCGUCUCGUUGUAAAAACAGCACUGAAACUUCUUCUCGUAUUCGUCGAAUACAUCGAGACGAAUAGUCUUUUGCUCGUACGAGCUGUGAGAUCGGUCGAUACUUCUCGCGGUAUGAUACCGUGGACCAACGUAAUGAGAUUGUUCAAGGACUACGACGCUGCUGAUACGGAACUUUUAAUAUACGCUACUACCCUCGUCAACAAGUGUCUCAAUGGCAUACCCGAUCAGGACACGUACUACGAUCAGGUUGAUUGCCUCGAGGAUCAAGGAAUCGAGGCCAUUAUACAGCGUUACAUGUCGAAACAGGGCACCGAUCUUGAUCUACUUGGACAGUUUCAAAUUUAUGAAGCUGUACUUCAUCACGAGGACGGAAAUGAUCGUGGCUCUCCUAUCAAGCAGCUUGACGACAACAUCAGAAAAACUCUCCGCAAUCGAAAGUCCUUGGUGGAUUCACACGGGAGACGGAAAUCACGGAGGCAUUCGACCGGCACUUCUCCACUCUCAAUGUCACUGGGCGCUCGUCUAAGUCCAGGAUUGAAUCACUCGCACGGUUUGAAUUCACUCAAUGGUACCCUCAAUUCGAGCCUUCCUGAUGACGACGAUGAAUCUAGCAGCUCCCAAAGUUCACAAGGCCUCGGCGAGGUCCAGCUUAAUGGAAGCUACAAGGAAAAUAAACCUGGUUUUCCUGUGGACGUGGGAGUGACUCCAGCCCUUAGGAGACGAAGAGAACGUGCUGAGAGACAACGCAGUUUCAUCCGAGAGCAGCAAGAAGCAACAGCGAAUAUGAGGGCUUCAAUAGUGAAUCCUGACGACCAGGAAGCUCCCUUCGCAACGAAUGGCAUGAGAUUCUCGAACGGCUCGCCGUACGAUCGAAACACGGAUUCGCCGUGUAACAAACUAUCACGAGCUAACAGUCGUAAGGAUUUAACGCCAAUUAUGAACGCGGCGAACAAGCUCGAUUCGGAGGAGAAAAAACCUUGGUACGGGAAAAGUCCGGACGAGGGUGUUGAAUGCGACGAGGGUAAUCAUACGGAUGAGGACGAAGAUCGCAGGGUCGUUAUUCCAAUAAAACGAGAGGGCACGGUCAAGGAUUUGACGCAAAAACUGACAGCUCAAAAUCUCAUACCGAGCAGCCCCGUUGAAGACAAAGUUUCGAGGAUAGGAGACAUGAGCGGUUUGAUAUCAAAGGCGAAGGAGGGUCUGGCGAAAUCGAAAUCGAAGGCGGAUGUUCUCAAGUCUCCGACCGGUGACAAUUUGCCAAAGUUAACCGAAGUGAAAAAAUCGGAAAACGAAUUGCACUGGGAGGAAUUGGUUAACAAAUUAAACCGACCGUUGGCACUGUGCGAUCUUGAUUUUACGGAUUUGACAUCGGACGAUGAGAUCGAUGUUCUGGGUCCGGUUAACGUGACCAAUGGAGUUCCACCUCCCCCGCCACCAAUGGUUGCCACACCGGCUAGUGGAUUUUCUCGGGCACCGCCACCCCCGCCUCCCGGGGGUCGUUUCCCGCCACCUUUUCCGAACGGUGUUCCUCCCCUCUUCGGUGUCAAUCUCAAGUCAACGAGAACGGGAAACAGUCCGGAGAAUUCCUCGACCAUACCAAAAAAUUCAAUCACCUCCACCUCGACCAAUCAAACGAACGGCCCGACCGGCAUCACCAAAAAAAGCAAAAAAACUGUGAAACUCUUCUGGAAAGAAGUACGCGACGAUCCUAUCAUUUUGACCCGUUUGGACAAGAACAAAAUGAUCUGGGACGAGCUACUUCCGGUGCCAGUUGACACGCAAAAACUGGAACAUCUCUUCGAGAGUCGUGCCAAGGAUCUCAUUACCAAGCAGAAGCAGCAAGAAAUGAACAAGAACAAGGAGAUCAUUGUUUUGGAUCACAAAAGAUCGAACGCAAUAAACAUCGGCAUGACCAAACUUCCACCGCCACGAUCGAUUAAAACCGCGAUCUUAAAGAUGGAUGCAACGAUUAUGAAUCGUGAGGGAAUUGAGAAACUCUUAACAAUGUUGCCGACCGAAGAGGAGAGAUCUCGAAUUCAAGAGGCGCAGGCCGCCAAUCCAGAUCUUCCACUAGGAUCGGCCGAGCAAUUUCUUCUCACUCUCGCAUCCAUCUCCGAAUUACCAGCGAGAUUGAAACUUUGGGCCUUCAAACUUGACUUCGAAAACUCUGAAAAGGAAAUUGCAGACCCUUUGAUGGAUUUGAAGCAAGGAAUGGAGACGCUGAGAGUGAAUAAAACAUUUCGCGGUAUUCUGAGCACGCUUCUAUCGAUUGGGAUAUUUCUCAACGGAAAUGAGGUGAAGGGCUUUCAGCUAGAAUAUCUUGCCAAAGUGCCCGAAGUCAAGGACACGGUUCACAAGCACUCUUUGCUCCAUCACCUGUGUCACAUGGUGAUGGAAAAGUUUCCGGACUCUACGGACCUUUACUCCGAGAUCGGAGCCGUGACAAGAGCAUCGAAGAUCGAUUUCGACGAGUUGGCAUCGAACAUCGGGAAGCUCGAGAGUGAGUGCAAGGCGUCGUGGGAUCAUCUUAAGCUUAUCACGAAGCACGACGGAUCGACAAUGAUGAAAGUCAAAAUGUCCGAUUUUCUUUCGGAUUGUGCGGAACGGAUAAUCGUCCUCGAGAUAGUGCAUCGUCGAAUAAUAAAUCGUUUUCACAAAUUCAUACUCUGGCUGGGUAUACCGCUGCAUCGAGUCCAGGAUACAAAACCGAACGAGUUCUCAAGGAUAGUCUCGGAAUUCGCCCUCGAGUAUAGAACAACCCGAGAACGUGUUAUUCAGCAGCUCGAGAAAAAAGCCAAUCAUCGGGAGAGGAACAAAACGAGAGGAAAAAUGAUUACCGAGGUGGGUAAAUUCCGCACGAAGGAAGAUCGAGCUGACGCUGAACUUCGUCAGCUACUUGGUAGCGACAUUUCCGAUGUCGAGAGUUUGCAAGGAACUCUGCCUUGGCGAAGGCAGCGCAAAGACGGACGUACAGCGUUGGGGCCGAUCAUUCGUGACGAGAGAAGCAACGGUAACGUGACGGAUGGCGAUGACGAGCUCCUCGAAUCUCUAGUUAAGACAGCUACUAAAACACCGGCAACGAGAACAACGCCCCGUGAACGCAAGAGGACGAGACACGCCGACCUUAAACGAUCACGCACUCGGGAGAACAACACUACGCCGGAAGGGUACCAACCUUGAAGGGGUUGCAUUCCCUAAUCGUGAUCGUGUCUCUCACGAUCUCGAUAAAUACACAGUGAAAUAGAUUAAUCAAAAAUGAUCAAAGUGCGUAGAACGCUGAAGAACGGUCUCUCGGAAGAGGAGAAGAAACACAUUGCCGCACACAUCAAGAGCUACUAACUGUGAUAAACUUGCCCGGAUCUACUAGCAAUUUAAACAAAGUAAUAAAUCCAACGAACAAGGUAGACCAUUAUUGCGAAAGAAUAUUCAUACUUUUUCGCUCGACAUGAUAUCGAAAGAAAAUUAUAGCAAACGGAGAUUCGAUCGAUUUCGAUCUCCCCUCCCAAUUUCAACUGUUUGAGCUGACCUUAGUGGCUUGAAACCAUGUUGCCUUAGAAUUUUCCAAUUUUACGAUCGAUUUUCCUGAUGAAUCAUUUUUGCGUUAGCGUUAUUUCAUUGCAUCGAUUGUACUUCUUUUUAGCACUUGAGAAAAUUUGCUGAUUUUAAAUGCCAGUUGAAUCGACGAGUAACAAAAGUGACUUUUCCGAAAAAAAAGAAAUUGCUUUUCGGUUUGUAGCGAAAAAAGUUGACAGCUAUCGAUCGAUCGACUAACGAUUUAAUUCACGAUUGCGCGAACAAAAUAAUCAGGACUCUGUGAUAAAGGAAAUAUUUGAAAGUAGACACGAGAUUCGUUAGUUCAUUUUCCGAAAUGAGCAUAAAAAUAAUAACCGGUUGAAAAACACCAAACAAAAAAUUCUAAUGUCUUGAAUUUCAUCAUUCGAUUCAUUGACGAUAUUUUAAGAAUAACCAGAAUCAUUAAUUCGGCUCUAUCUUGACGGAAAUUCGUCGAUCAUUAUAACUGGUAAAAAAAAACACAAAAAAAAUAAUUAUGAAGAAGAAAAUACUGAGGUAGUUUCCAUCAUGAUCGCCAGAACAAUUCAAACCGUAAAUAUGUAAUAAAUAAUUUAAUAGAAAUUUAAAAAAUGUCCUGUCCAGUCAAAAUCUUCUCGUUCUUCAAGCAUUCAAUCUAAAAUAUAGAAAAAUCUUACAUUGUCUUAAAACGUUUGCGUUACGACGUAAACAGAAGAAGAGAAAGUGAGUAAAUAAAUCGAUAAAUCGAUAAACUAUGUACAAUUACUGCGAAAAUGUUUUCACGAAAUAAAGAAAUGUUGAUAUCCAUAA